UACGUAGGGGGCUAGCGUUGUUCGGAAUCACUGGGCGUAAAGCGCACGUAGGCGGACUUUCAAGUCAGGGGUGAAAUCCCGGAGCUCAACUUCGGAAUUGCCUUUGAUACUGCAAAUCUCGAGUCCGGAAGAGGUGAGUGGAAUUCCUAGUGUAGAGGUGAAAUUCGUAGAUAUUAGGAAGAACACCAGUGGCGAAGGCGGCUCACUGGUCCGGUACUGACGCUGAGGUGCGAAAGCGUGGGGAGCAAACAGG
Molecule: ribosomal RNA, 253 nt
Filed under: uncultured bacterium
Lineage: Bacteria
Description: partial 16S ribosomal RNA
Rfam family: Bacterial small subunit ribosomal RNA
Source: RNAcentral